UAAUACGAAGGGGGCUAGCGUUGCUCGGAAUUACUGGGCGUAAAGGGCGCGUAGGCGGUCCUGUGAGUCAGGCGUGAAAUUCCCGGGCUUAACCUGGGGACUGCGCUUGAUACUGCGGGACUUGAGGAUGGAAGAGGGUCGUGGAAUUCCCAGUGUAGAGGUGAAAUUCGUAGAUAUUGGGAAGAACACCGGUGGCGAAGGCGGCGACCUGGUCCAUUUCUGACGCUGAGGCGCGACAGCGUGGGGAGCAAACAGGAUUAGAUACCCUGGUAGUCCACGCCGUAAACGAUGUGCGCUGGAUGUUGGGUGACCUAGUCACUCAGUGUCGUAGCCAACGCGGUAAGCGCACCGCCUGGGGAGUACGGCCGCAAGGUUG
Molecule: ribosomal RNA, 376 nt
Filed under: uncultured bacterium
Lineage: Bacteria
Description: bacterial SSU rRNA
Rfam family: Bacterial small subunit ribosomal RNA
Source: RNAcentral